UAAGUUAGAUCCUAUCCACUUCCACCUGGUGGUGGUACAAGAUGCUUCUACAAUUGCUUCCAGAAAUCUCUCUUCAGAAAAUUUAUACAGUGCAAAUAAUCAGACUCAUGAACAAGAAGUGAACUGACUUUCAGUCCAGCUCUUAAACUAUGAAUUGAUCCCAGCCCUGCAUUGCCAUGCUACAGAAAGGCAUCCAGGAUCAAAAGCCUAAAUUGACAGUGCUGUACCAAGCCAACCUUUGAAGACAAGGCAGAAGACCUACUAUACAUGUAGGACUUUGUAAGUCAAUCAUGCAUCUAAAUAUCAGCUUUGGUGGCCUAUAGACUAUCAAAAAAAGACCACUUUAGAUCUCAUUAACUAUUUUAGGAUACUUGAUAUAUAUUAAUUAAUUCAUCCUCUCAGCCCCCUGUGAGGGAAAAUGCUAUGGCCCAAGGAGCUUGAUGACUUACUCACGUGGUAGCCUGUAUUUUAUCCACUAACUAGAACAUACUGCUUGGGAUUGACACUAGACCAUGGAUUCAAGUUUGAACUGCACAUAAUUCAAAAGUGUCA
Molecule: long non-coding RNA, 552 nt
Organism: Lutra lutra (Eurasian river otter)
Lineage: Eukaryota; Metazoa; Chordata; Mammalia; Carnivora; Mustelidae
Exons: 3
Source: RefSeq, a predicted model, not a curated record